This 1548-nucleotide ribosomal RNA is filed under the name Candidatus Riesia pthiripubis. RNAcentral's name for it is "bacterial SSU rRNA". It matches the Rfam family "Bacterial small subunit ribosomal RNA". The record is from RNAcentral. Lineage: Bacteria; Pseudomonadati; Pseudomonadota; Gammaproteobacteria; Enterobacterales; Enterobacteriaceae.
UUGAAGAGUUUGAUCAUGGCUCAGAUUGAACGCUAGCGACAGGCUUAACACAUGCAAGUCGUGCGAUAUCAGUAAUUUUUUCUUACUGAAUAGCGGCGAACGGGUGAGUAAAAUGUGAGAAUCUACCUAAAGAUGUGGAAUAGCUAUUGGAAACGAUAGGUAAUACCGCAUAAAUACUCUCAGGAGAAAAGUGGGGAUACUAAACUUUUUUAGCCUCACGUCUUUAGAUGAGCUCACACGAGAUUAGCUAGUAGGUAAGAUAAUGGCUUACCUAGGCUACGAUCUCUAGCUGGUCUGAGAGGACGGCCAGCCACACUGGGACUGAGACACGGCCCAGACUCCUACGGGAGGCAGCAGUGGGGAAUAUUGCACAAUGGGCGAAAGCCUGAUGCAGCUAUGUCGCGUGUAUGAAGAAGGCCUUUGGGUUGUAAAGUACUUUCAGUUACGAAGAAACCAAUAUAACUAAUAAUUAUAUUGUAUGACGUUAGUAACAGAAGAAGCACCGGCUAACUCCGUGCCAGCAGCCGCGGUAAUACGGAGGGUGCGAGCGUUAAUCGGAAUUACUGGGCGUAAAGGGCGAGUAGGCGGUAAAUUAAGUUAGAUGUGAAAUACCUAAUCUUAAAUUAGGAACUGCAUUUAAAACUAGUUUUCUAGAGUUUUGUAGGGGGGAGUAGAAUUCCAUGUGUAGCGGUGAAAUGCGUAGAGAUAUGGAAGAAUACCAGUGGCGAAGGCGACUCCCUGGACAAAAACUGACGCUGAUGCGCGAAAGCAUGGGUAGCAAACAGGAUUAGAUACCCUGGUAGUCCAUGCUGUAAACUAUGUCGAUUUGGAGGUUGUAAUGCAAGUAAAAUUAUGGCUUCCGUAGCUAACGCGUUAAAUCGACCGCCUGGGGAGUACGGUCGCAAGAUUAAAACUCAAAUGAAUUGACGGGGGCCCGCACAAGCGGUGGAGCAUGUGGUUUAAUUCGAUGCAACGCGAAAAACCUUACCUACUCUUGACAUCCAAAGUAGUAAACAGAGAUGUUUAUGUGCCUUAGGGAACUUUGAGACAGGUGCUGCAUGGCUGUCGUCAGCUCGUGUUGUGAAAUGUUGGGUUAAGUCCCGCAACGAGCGCAACCCUUAUCCUUUGUUGCCAUCGAUUAAGUCGGGAACUCAAAGGAGACUGCCGGUGAUAAAUCGGAGGAAGGAGAGGACGACGUCAAGUCAUCAUGGCCCUUACGAGUAGGGCUACACACGUGCUACAAUGGUAUAUACAGAGAGAAGCAAUCCUAUAAAGGGAAGCGGAACUCAGAAAGUAUAUCGCAGUCCAGAUUGGAGUCUGCAACUCGACUCCAUGAAGUCGGAAUCGCUAGUAAUCGCGAAUCAGCAUGUCGCGGUGAAUACGUUCUCGGGCCUUGUACACACCGCCCGUCACACCAUGGAAGUGAGUUGUAAAAGAAGCAAGUAGCUGAACCAAACGGACAGCACUUACCACUUUAUGAUUCAUAACUGGGGUGAAGUCGUAACAAGGUAACCGUAGGGGAACCUGUGGUUGGAUCACCUCCUUAUU